RNAcentral lists this ribosomal RNA (639 nucleotides) under uncultured Cortinarius. RNAcentral's name for it is "eukaryotic LSU rRNA". The stretch from base 235 to 388 matches the Rfam family "5.8S ribosomal RNA". The record is from RNAcentral. Lineage: Eukaryota; Fungi; Basidiomycota; Agaricomycetes; Agaricales; Cortinariaceae.
UCUUGGUCAUUUAGAGGAAGUAAAAGUCGUAACAAGGUUUCCGUAGGUGAACCUGCGGAAGGAUCAUUAUUGAAAUAAACCUGACGGGUUGUUGCUGGUUCUCUAGGGAGCAUGUGCACACUUGUCAUCUUUAUAUCUCCACCUGUGCACCUUGUGUAGACCUUACAGGUCUAUGUUGCCUAUUCAUUUACACCAAUGUAUGUUAAUAGAAUGUUGUGACUAUAAAAUCUAUACAACUUUCAGCAACGGAUCUCUUGGCUCUCGCAUCGAUGAAGAACGCAGCGAAAUGCGAUAAGUAAUGUGAAUUGCAGAAUUCAGUGAAUCAUCGAAUCUUUGAACGCACCUUGCGCUCCUUGGUAUUCCGAGGAGCAUGCCUGUUUGAGUGUCAUUAAUAUAUAUAUCAACCCCCUCUUUUGUUGGAGUGGUUUGGAUGUGAGGGUUUGCUGGAUUCCUUAAGAGAAUUCAGCUCCCUUGAAAUGCAUUAGCAGAAUAACCUGCUCAUUAGUGUGAUAACUAUCUACACUAUUGAAUGCAAGGGCCAGUUCAGCUUUCUAACAGUCCUUGGACAAUUUAUCAUUUAUGUGACCUCAAAUCAGGUAGGACUACCCGCUGAACUUAAGCAUAUCAAUAAGCGGAGGA